CAGGCUUAACACAUGCAAGUCGAGGGGCAGCAUGGUCUUAGCUUGCUAAGGCCGAUGGCGACCGGCGCACGGGUGAGUAACACGUAUCCAACCUGCCGUCUACUCUUGGACAGCCUUCUGAAAGGAAGAUUAAUACAAGAUGGCAUCAUGAGUCCACAUGUUCACAUGAUUAAAGGUAUUCCGGUAGACGAUGGGGAUGCGUUCCAUUAGAUAGUAGGCGGGGUAACGGCCCACCUAGUCUUCGAUGGAUAGGGGUUCUGAGAGGAAGGUCCCCCACAUUGGAACUGAGACACGGUCCAAACUCCUACGGGAGGCAGCAGUGAGGAAUAUUGGUCAAUGGGCGAGAGCCUGAACCAGCCAAGUAGCGUGAAGGAUGACUGCCCUAUGGGUUGUAAACUUCUUUUAUAAAGGAAUAAAGUCGGGUAUGCAUACCCGUUUGCAUGUACUUUAUGAAUAAGGAUCGGCUAACUCCGUGCCAGCAGCCGCGGUAAUACGGAGGAUCCGAGCGUUAUCCGGAUUUAUUGGGUUUAAAGGGAGCGUAGAUGGAUGUUUAAGUCAGUUGUGAAAGUUUGCGGCUCAACCGUAAAAUUGCAGUUGAUACUGGAUAUCUUGAGUGCAGUUGAGGCAGGCGGAAUUCGUGGUGUAGCGGUGAAAUGCUUAGAUAUCACGAAGAACUCCGAUUGCGAAGGCAGCCUGCUAAGCUGCAACUGACAUUGAGGCUCGAAAGUGUGGGUAUCAAACAGGAUUAGAUACCCUGGUAGUCCACACGGUAAACGAUGAAUACUCGCUGUUUGCGAUAUACGGCAAGCGGCCAAGCGAAAGCGUUAAGUAUUCCACCUGGGGAGUACGCCGGCAACGGUGAAACUCAAAGGAAUUGACGGGGGCCCGCACAAGCGGAGGAACAUGUGGUUUAAUUCGAUGAUACGCGAGGAACCUUACCCGGGCUUAAAUUGCAGAUGAAUUACGGUGAAAGCCGUAAGCCGCAAGGCAUCUGUGAAGGUGCUGCAUGGUUGUCGUCAGCUCGUGCCGUGAGGUGUCGGCUUAAGUGCCAUAACGAGCGCAACCCUUGUUGUCAGUUACUAACAGGUUCCGCUGAGGACUCUGACAAGACUGCCAUCGUAAGAUGUGAGGAAGGUGGGGAUGACGUCAAAUCAGCACGGCCCUUACGUCCGGGGCUACACACGUGUUACAAUGGGGGGUACAGAGGGCCGCUACCACGCGAGUGGAUGCCAAUCCCCAAAACCUCUCUCAGUUCGGACUGGAGUCUGCAACCCGACUCCACGAAGCUGGAUUCGCUAGUAAUCGCGCAUCAGCCACGGCGCGGUGAAUACGUUCCCGGGCCUUGUACACACCGCCCGUCAAGCCAUGGGAGCCGGGGGUACCUGAAGUGCGUAACCGCGAGGAGCGCCCUAGGGUAAAACUGGUGACUGGGGCUAAG
RNAcentral lists this ribosomal RNA (1438 nucleotides) under uncultured organism. RNAcentral's name for it is "16S ribosomal RNA". It matches the Rfam family "Bacterial small subunit ribosomal RNA". The record is from RNAcentral.